AUGUAAAAUAUACUGUUUUACAGGUUUCAACAUUGCAUACAGACGACAGAGAAAAAGUAAGAUAGGUCCACAGCACAAGAUUUCAAAAGAGGAAGCCAUGAAAUGGUUUCAGCAGAAGUAUGAUGGUAUCAUUCUUCCUGGAAAGUAAAGACUGUGUACCUAAGAAAAAAAAAUAAAUAAAUCCAGGUCAUAGGAUGGGUUGUUUUAUUUUUUUUUUUUAAAUGUGUGUCAAAAAAAGCAUGGUAAAAUGUGGUGGAGAAAUGAUUCUGUGAUCAAGACCAUAUAUUUUAUGUGUAAUAUUAUGUCUAUAUUUAUCAAAUACUUUGCUUCAGAAAAUUGACCAGACUAGUAAAUUGCAUUCUGCUGCAAUGAUACUAAAAAUAGCAAUUUUCUUCUUAU
Long non-coding RNA from Saccostrea cuccullata (small rock oyster), 399 nucleotides. RefSeq lists it as uncharacterized. NCBI's taxonomy places the organism in Eukaryota, Metazoa, Mollusca, Bivalvia, Ostreida, Ostreidae. The record is from RefSeq and is a predicted model, not a curated record. The transcript has 3 exons.